GUAAAACAAACAUAAGUACAAUCCAAUAAAAGCUCAAAAAACUACACUUCAAACAAAAGCUAAAUCAAGAGUGGCGGCUGUACUUCAUUUCCCAUUCUCUUCAAAGCACCUUCAAAGGAAGCUAAGUAAAAAGGGGGUGUGGCAACUGUUGCUCAAGCAAAGAAAAAGGAAAUUAGAUCCUCUCAAGGUGGCUUCUGAACUUCCAUCCUCAUUCGUAGCCCCUCCAUCAUGAAAGUACAGAAAUGAAACUGAGCGUGUGGCGGCUAUUGGACACACCUCGCUUUUUCUUAAUUGCUCUCAACCUACUGGACUCUCUCACGCUGAAAACGUAUGUCCCUCCCAACUGUGGCAGUCCAGCCCACGUGAGCUCCAUGCUCUUUAUUCCUACAGGCCGUGACAACGUUUGCUGGAUGUGUGCUUUCCUUUUUCUCAGCCCAAUGAACCAGCCUCCAAGCUAAGUCAAUUACCGUGGGCACCUCUUCGCUCAUUAUCGUGGGCCCUUGCAUUGCUACGUGCUGCCAUUUUUUUUUUAUAUUUUGGACGUCACCAUAAUGUGCUCCUCCUUGACAACAUCUUGUGCCAGCAUUAGGAGUGUGAAGAUGUGGCCAUUUUGAACGUGCAACCUCCCUCUUCACGUAUUGGACACAUGAGAGCACUCUCCAUUUUCAGCCUAUCACGUGACAAUCAAUCAGCCCAUGCUUUUUUUUUUCCUCCCAAGCUGCUGUGUGCACCCUCUUAUUCUUCUUGAAGCACCCCGUUCUCCAAAGCCUAAAGAGUAAAAUCACCUAAGUGCCCUCCU
RNAcentral lists this long non-coding RNA (799 nucleotides) under Vigna radiata. RNAcentral's name for it is "long non-coding RNA (VRAD_LNC014237)". The record is from RNAcentral. Lineage: Eukaryota; Viridiplantae; Streptophyta; Magnoliopsida; Fabales; Fabaceae.